GUAACGAAUCUUCCGCAAUGGACGAAAGUCUGACGGAGCAAUGCCGCGUGCGGGAUGAAGCCCUUCGGGGUGUAAACCGCUGUCAGGGUUUAGUAACACAAUGAACAGACCCAAAGGAAGAGCCGACUAACUCUGUGCCAGCAGUCGCGGUAAUACAGAGGGCUCGAGCGUUGCGCGGAGUCACUGGGCUUAAAGCGUACGUAGGCGGACAUGAAGGCAUCGUGUGAAAUCCCCCGACUCAACCGGGGAACUGCUCGGUGAACCGCAUGUCUUGAGGGAAGUAAGGGCGGUCGGAACGAUAGGUGGAGCGGUGAAAUGCGUAGAUAUCUAUCGGAACGCCGAAGGUGAAGACAGGCCGCUGGGCUUCUUACUGACGCUGAGGUACGAAAGCGUGGGGAGCGAACGGGAUUAGAUACCCCGGUAGUCC
This 427-nucleotide ribosomal RNA is filed under the name uncultured bacterium. Its description in RNAcentral is "bacterial SSU rRNA". It matches the Rfam family "Bacterial small subunit ribosomal RNA", at positions 354 to 796 of the family's 1533-position model. The record is from RNAcentral.